This 45-nucleotide non-coding RNA is filed under the name Schistosoma mansoni. The record is from RNAcentral. Lineage: Eukaryota; Metazoa; Platyhelminthes; Trematoda; Strigeidida; Schistosomatidae.
AUCCAGCUGACGAGUUCCAAAUAGGACGAAACGCGUGUCCUAGAU